UAUCCAGAAACUAUUCAGGCUUUUCAUGAUUAUACUGAUUGGAUAGUACUACUCUUCUGCUGGGUCAACAAUGAAAUCUACGCUUUAGCCUUGACGUGUCUAGAGAUGCAUCCAAAUUUAGCUUUUGAGAGAGAUGAUUCAAACGAGACAAUACUGCACAUAUUGGCUUGAAAGCCUUUAAGUUCUAUUUGCCAAAGUCAACGAUAUAGAAAGCGGCUCAUGAAGUCCUGUAAGCGUCCAUGAUCACAAAUUACAAAUAAUAUAUAAUUAUGAUAUAGUGAUUUUACUACAUACAAUAAAUUCUAUUGUGUUUCCCAGGUUUGAGGCAAA
This is a long non-coding RNA of Neltuma alba, 330 nucleotides long. RefSeq lists it as uncharacterized. NCBI's taxonomy places the organism in Eukaryota, Viridiplantae, Streptophyta, Magnoliopsida, Fabales, Fabaceae. The record is from RefSeq and is a predicted model, not a curated record. The transcript is spliced from 2 exons.